GGGACAACAGCCAGAAAUGGCUGCUAAUACCGCAUAAGCCUGCUGUGCCGCAUGGCACAGCAGGGAAAACCACGGUGGUACAGGAUGGGCCCGCGUCUGAUUAGUUAGUUGGCAGGGUAACGGCCUACCAAGACAACGAUCAGUAGCCGGCUUGAGAGAGUGGACGGCCACAUUGGGACUGAGACACGGCCCAGACUCCUGCGGGAGGCAGCAGUGGGGAAUAUUGCACAAUGGGGGGAACCCUGAUGCAGCAAUGCCGCGUGGGUGAAGAAGCACUCCGGUGCGUAAAGCCCUGUCAGCAGGGAAGAAAAUGACAGUACCUGGACAAGAAGCCCCGGCUAACUACGUGCCAGCAGCUGCGGUAAUACGUAGGGGGCAAGCGUUAUCCGGAUUUACUGGGUGUAAAGGGAGCGCAGGCGGCGUGGCAAGUCAGAUGUGAAAACCCGGGGCCCAACCCCGGGAGUGCAUUUGAAACUGCCAUGCUGGAGUGCCGGAGGGGUAAGCGGAAUUCCUAGUGUAGCGGUGAAAUGCGUAGAUAUUAGGAGGAGCACCAGUGGCGGAGGCGGCUUACUGGACGGUAACUGACGCUGAGGCUCGAAAGCGUGGGGAGCAAACAGGAUUAGAUACCCUGGUAGUCCACGCCGUAAAC
Molecule: ribosomal RNA, 649 nt
Filed under: uncultured bacterium
Lineage: Bacteria
Description: bacterial SSU rRNA
Rfam family: Bacterial small subunit ribosomal RNA
Source: RNAcentral